GAUAUGAAAGCAAAGGAAAAGCGGUAUUAAAUGAUAUUAUACAAGAUACUAAGCAACCUUAUAACAUUCAAGAUACUUUGUUUACAAAUAAAUAUUGCUGAUAAAACUUUUCCAAAAGGUCAUUUAAAGCCGCUUGGAUCACAUCGAUCACCAGAAAGUAUCGAUGAACGCUUUGAUGUACCUUCACCUCUCGAGUUUUGGACUGACUAUGUUAAAAUCUCCAAGCCUGUGGUUUUUAGAGGAGCUGCGAAACACUCUAAGGCAUUCACCUCGUGGACUGAUGAAUAUUUAAAACAGAAUUAUGGAGAUUUGGAAGUUAGAUUGGAAAUAAGGGUGAAAAAUCUUAAAUGGCCUUAUUAAAAAUCUUGAGCUCACUUUGUGGAUACUUAUCAUGAUGUAAACAGUUAUAUUGUGUCAGAAUUACCAACACCAAUGUGGUCUGACAUUCUUGUGCAGCCAUGUUUAACAUGUGGAACAUUUUCUGAUCAUAUUGUUGAGAUUGAUUUAUGGAUGAGUGGUGGAGGAAGCAAGAGUCUCUUACAUAAGUAACGUUUGUCAGUUGGCAAUUUUCAACACCUUUUGUUGUUCUGUAGUUGAAUCCAACACAUUCGAGUUUGUUAUUGCAGUGAUUGUGACACUCGAACAUGACAAACGAAGACGUGAUAUUGUGUCUUGAUAUUAUCUCGUCAUCAGGACGAUAUUUACCAGGGAAAGAGACGAUUACAAAAGGAUCUUGAAGCUGUGUUUCAAAAGAAUUUGAAAAUUCGAUUAUAAGUAAGAAAGCAGAUGCCUUUAAUUUUAACUUUACUGGGGCCGGUUGUA
Long non-coding RNA from Dendronephthya gigantea, 822 nucleotides. RefSeq lists it as uncharacterized. The record is from RefSeq and is a predicted model, not a curated record. The transcript has 4 exons. NCBI's taxonomy places the organism in Eukaryota, Metazoa, Cnidaria, Anthozoa, Malacalcyonacea, Nephtheidae.